RNAcentral lists this ribosomal RNA (3088 nucleotides) under Streptomyces sp. Rer75. Its description in RNAcentral is "23S ribosomal RNA". It matches the Rfam family "Bacterial large subunit ribosomal RNA". Lineage: Bacteria; Bacillati; Actinomycetota; Actinomycetes; Kitasatosporales; Streptomycetaceae. The record is from RNAcentral.
ACAGUGGACGCGAGCAUCUGUGGCCAAGUUUUUAAGGGCGCACGGUGGAUGCCUUGGCACCAGGAACCGAUGAAGGACGUGGGAGGCCGCGAUAGGCCCCGGGGAGCUGUCAACCGAGCUUUGAUCCGGGGGUGUCCGAAUGGGGAAACCCGGCAGUCGUCAUGGGCUGUCACCCGCUGCUGAACACAUAGGCAGUGUGGAGGGAACGCGGGGAAGUGAAACAUCUCAGUACCCGCAGGAAGAGAAAACAACCGUGAUUCCGGGAGUAGUGGCGAGCGAAACUGGAUGAGGCUAAACCGUAUGUGUGAUACCCGGCAGGGGUUGCGCAUGCGGGGUUGUGGGAGUGUGCUGGAUCGGUCUGCUUACCGGUCGGAGAGUCAGAAACCGUAUGGAUAGGCGAAGGGCAUGCGAAAGGCCCGGCGUAGAGGUAAGACCCCGUAGCUGAAAUCUGUACGGCUCUCUUGCGUAUUUCCCAAGUAGCACGGGGCCCGAGAAAUCCCGUGUGAAUCUGGCGGGACCACCCGCUAAGCCUAAAUAUUCCCUGGUGACCGAUAGCGGAUAGUACCGUGAGGGAAUGGUGAAAAGUACCGCGGGAGCGGAGUGAAAUAGUACCUGAAACCGUGUGCCUACAAGCCGUGGGAGCGUCGCGCAGAGACUUGUCUCUGCGUCGUGACUGCGUGCCUUUUGAAGAAUGAGCCUGCGAGUUUGCGGUGUGUUGCGAGGUUAACCCGUGUGGGGAAGCCGUAGCGAAAGCGAGUCCGAAUAGGGCGGUUUAGUAGCGCGCUCAAGACCCGAAGCGGAGUGAUCUAGCCAUGGGCAGGUUGAAGCGGAGGUAAGACUUCGUGGAGGACCGAACCCACCAGGGUUGAAAACCUGGGGGAUGACCUGUGGUUAGGGGUGAAAGGCCAAUCAAACUCCGUGAUAGCUGGUUCUCCCCGAAAUGCAUUUAGGUGCAGCGUCGUGUGUUUCUUACUGGAGGUAGAGCACUGGAUAGGCGAUGGGCCCUACCGGGUUACUGACCUUAGCCAAACUCCGAAUGCCGGUAAGUGAGAGCGCGGCAGUGAGACUGUGGGGGAUAAGCUCCAUGGUCGAGAGGGAAACAGCCCAGAGCAUCGACUAAGGCCCCUAAGCGUAUGCUAAGUGGGAAAGGAUGUGGAGUCGCAGAGACAACCAGGAGGUUGGCUUAGAAGCAGCCAUCCUUGAAAGAGUGCGUAAUAGCUCACUGGUCAAGUGAUUCCGCGCCGACAAUGUAGCGGGGCUCAAGCGUACCGCCGAAGUCGUGUCACUACAGCAAUACCUCUAACGAGGGCUGUGGUGGGUAGGGGAGCGUCGUGUGCCGGGUGAAGCAGCGCCGGAAGGUAGUUGUGGACGGUUCACGAGUGAGAAUGCAGGCAUGAGUAGCGAUACACACGUGGGAAACGUGUGCGCCGAUUGACUAAGGGUUCCUGGGUCAAGCUGAUCUGCCCAGGGUAAGUCGGGACCUAAGGCGAGGCCGACAGGCGUAGUCGAUGGACAACCGGUUGAUAUUCCGGUACCCGCUUUGAAGCGCCCAAUAUCGAAUCCUCUGAUGCUAAGGCCGUGAAGCCGCCCUGAUCUCUUCGGAGUUGAGGGGAGUGGUGGAGCCGCUGAUCCAAGGUGGUAGUAGGUAAGUGAUGGGGUGACGCAGGAAGGUAGUCCAGCCCGGGCGGUGGUUGUCCCGGGGUAAGGGUGUAGCCGAGGAGUAUGGUUGUGGUGAAGUGGAUGAUCCGCUUCCUCUAGCGAGUUUCAUGGCGGCCCGUACCCUAAACCGACUCAGGUGGUCAGGUAGAGAAUACCGAGGCGUUCGGGUGAACUAUGGUUAAGGAACUCGGCAAAAUGCCCCCGUAACUUCGGGAGAAGGGGGGCCAUUGCUGGUGAUCACUCUUGCAGUGUGAGCUGGUGGUGGCCGCAGAGACCAGCGAGAAGCGACUGUUUACUAAAAACACAGGUCCGUGCGAAGCCGUAAGGCGAUGUAUACGGACUGACGCCUGCCCGGUGCUGGAACGUUAAGGGGACCGGUUAGCUCCAUUUCGGUGGGGCGAAGCUGAGAACUUAAGCGCCAGUAAACGGCGGUGGUAACUAUAACCAUCCUAAGGUAGCGAAAUUCCUUGUCGGGUAAGUUCCGACCUGCACGAAUGGCGUAACGACUUCUCGACUGUCUCAACCAUAGGCCCGGUGAAAUUGCAUUACGAGUAAAGAUGCUCGUUUCGCGCAGCAGGACGGAAAGACCCCGGGACCUUUACUACAGCUUGAUAUUGGUGUUCGGUUCGGCUUGUGUAGGAUAGGUGGGAGACUGUGAAAUCAUGACGCCAGUCAUGGUGGAGUCAUUGUUGAAAUACCACUCUGGUCGUGCUGGAUGUCUAACCUGGGUCCGUGAUCCGGAUCAGGGACAGUGUCUGGUGGGUAGUUUAACUGGGGCGGUUGCCUCCUAAAGGGUAACGGAGGCGCCCAAAGGUUCCCUCAGCCUGGUUGGCAAUCAGGUGUUGAGUGUAAGUGCACAAGGGAGCUUGACUGUGAGACCGACGGGUCGAGCAGGGACGAAAGUCGGGACUAGUGAUCCGGCGGUGGCUUGUGGAAGCGCCGUCGCUCAACGGAUAAAAGGUACCCCGGGGAUAACAGGCUGAUCUUCCCCAAGAGUCCAUAUCGACGGGAUGGUUUGGCACCUCGAUGUCGGCUCGUCGCAUCCUGGGGCUGGAGUCGGUCCCAAGGGUUGGGCUGUUCGCCCAUUAAAGCGGUACGCGAGCUGGGUUUAGAACGUCGUGAGACAGUUCGGUCCCUAUCCGCUGUGCGCGUAGGAGUCUUGAGAAGGGCUGUCCCUAGUACGAGAGGACCGGGACGGACGAACCUCUGGUGUGCCAGUUGUCCUGCCAAGGGCAUGGCUGGUUGGCUACGUUCGGGAGGGAUAACCGCUGAAAGCAUCUAAGCGGGAAGCCUGCUUCGAGAUGAGGGCUCCCACCCACUUGAUGGGGUAAGGCUCCCAGUAGACGACUGGGUUGAUAGGCCAGAUAUGGAAGCCGGGUGACCGGUGGAGUUGACUGGUACUAAUAGGCCGAGGGCUUGUCCUCAGUUG